CGCUAUCACUCCGUACGGGAGGCAGCAGUAGGGAAUCUUCACAAUGGACGAAAGUCUGAUGGAGCAACGCCGCGUGAGUGAAGAAGGGUUUCGGCUCGUAAAACUCUGUUGUUAAAGAAGAACAUAUCUGAGAGUAACUGUUCAGGUAUUGACGGUAUUUAACCAGAAAGCCACGGCUAACUACGUGCCAGCAGCCGCGGUAAUACGUAGGUGGCAAGCGUUGUCCGGAUUUAUUGGGCGUAAAGCGAGCGCAGGCGGUUUUAAGUCUGAUGUGAAAGCCUUCGGCUCAACCGAAGAAGUGCAUCGGAAACUGGGAAACUUGAGUGCAGAAGAGGACAGUGGAACUCCAUGUGUAGCGGUGAAAUGCGUAGAUAUAUGGAAGAACACCAGUGGCGAAGGCGGCUGUCUGGUCUGUAACUGACGCUGAGGCUCGAAAGUAUGGGUAGCAAACAGGAUUAGAUACCCUGGUAG
This 471-nucleotide ribosomal RNA is filed under the name uncultured bacterium. RNAcentral describes it as "bacterial SSU rRNA". It matches the Rfam family "Bacterial small subunit ribosomal RNA", at positions 328 to 793 of the family's 1533-position model. The record is from RNAcentral.